UCCUGGUCAGCUCAGUUGGUAGAGCGCUCCACUGGAAAUGGGGAGGUCCCUGGUUCAAUACCAUGACCAGGCG
This 73-nucleotide transfer RNA is filed under the name Ixodes scapularis (black-legged tick). It matches the Rfam family "tRNA". Rfam says of the family: Transfer RNA (tRNA) molecules are approximately 80 nucleotides in length. Their secondary structure includes four short double-helical elements and three loops (D, anti-codon, and T loops). Lineage: Eukaryota; Metazoa; Arthropoda; Arachnida; Ixodida; Ixodidae. The record is from Rfam by way of RNAcentral.